CAACCCUAGCUUCCUUUCUAAUAGAUAUCAGACAUCACGGACUGAAAGCAAACAUCACAGAAUGAGGCCCUGCGACCCCCAGCACACAGCAGGUCUGGCUGACCUGUCCCAUCAGUUUUCUGGAUUUAACAACUGUGUAUGCCUGAAUUUACCAAUUUAUCAGUAGCAAUAACUCACCUUUAAAAAGUCUCGGUGGAACAUUUUAAUUAGUUUGGUCUCACGGCUUGUCUAAAAUGCUUCUGAUAGCACAGCAUACACUAAAGCAAUGCUAUGAAUGCCUAAAAAUAUAAAAUCUAAUUAUGGUACCCGUGCAACUGGAGUAAUGAGAAGUGAGCGUGACUGAUAAGAAGAGAGACAGCAGGCUAACAAGCUGAACUGCUGUAGUUCAAUGGACUGGCCGGGGUCUAAACAAAACACCUGUGGUAUUGCUUGGAGGAAGAUAUGUGGACUUGGAAACAGGAACUUACAGCAUUAAAAGAGAUAUCAUAUGAAAUGAAUACAUGACGAUACUAAUUAUUAGUGCAAGUGUUUAGCACAUGGCUAAAAUAAAUAACCAGUGAGAACGUGCAGAACUGAAGAUGACUGGUAAGGGAAAUACACCUGAUAUAGGGAAUAAGAAAUUACCCACUGCAAAUAAGAGAAAGCUGUAACUCCUGUUCUUAGGGUUCAUGUUGCUGGACAGACCGACUUCACAGAAUGCUGCCUGUGACUAUUACACAGUGUUUGUUAUCUUGGAGCAGUUAUUCUACAGGAGCAACUGCAAUGCCCUAAGUGGCCUGCGAGACAAAGGCCAUGGGUGCAAAAAGAUGGGAAAAGAGAAAUCAAAGCAGAAACUCUCUGUCAUAAAUGAGGAAGAUGAACAGGGGGAGGCAACUGAUUAUUUUGUCUUCCUUUAUUUCCAUACACUCUCAAACCAAAUCAGCUGCAGCAUCUCCAGCUGCACCAUUCUCCCAUCUGGACGUGCGUGUAACGUUAUUGACUGCAGCACAAUUAUACAGGAGCCAAGCGAGGAUAAUUCAGGAGAGAAACAGAACCAUCGUUCACACAAUAUCCUUUCUACAGAAAGUUCUUACAGCUUGUAUAGUGCACCACGUCCUGAUACAUGUAUUAAAUAGUAGAAAUAUUAUUAAAUAUGCAAAAAUCUUAAUUUCUUUUACUAUAUUUAGACUCUCAGUAGUGAAACUGCUCCAGGUUGACAGCAUUUAGAAUAAAAGCACUCCUAAUGACA
Molecule: long non-coding RNA, 1228 nt
Filed under: Numida meleagris (helmeted guineafowl)
Lineage: Eukaryota; Metazoa; Chordata; Aves; Galliformes; Numididae
Description: lncRNA (ENSNMEG00000019000.1)
Source: RNAcentral